UCCAACACAAACCUCAUUAUACUCCCAUGCAGGCAGGUAUGCACAUGAUCAAUAUUCAAGCAACUCUCUAGGAAACACUCUCUCCUCUAUUUCAUGCAUUCUGAUGCAUGUGCCACUGUGAACCACAUAUGCAUGUCUGGCAUAAUAACAUGUAAAUGUGGUGGACAAUUCUGUUGUAUCUAACUCAUCUAAGAAGCUGUGUUCUACAAGUUUAACUUCAAGGUACAAACACAGAGGAAACGGCACGGGUGAGAACAUCAAAGCUGAGUGUUGCUGUUCCCCCAGUACCUGCUCCAGUUUCCACAAGAACUUGACGGGCCGUGCAGCGGAGACGUCGGGCCAGUAGAAGAGAGAGAGGCGACAGCCGUGGACGGAGAGGGAGUAGUGGGAGAAGGAGUCGUCUGCAGCGCAGGAGACCAGGAGAGAAAAAACAAGAGAAUUGGAGUGCUGCACACGAUGGUCUCCUCGUCUUUGCGACUUCCUCUGGUCUGAGUGGUCGAGGGCUGGAUGUUGGCGCCGCCCCUUCGAAUCCACAGCUGCAGGGUGAAGUGGUCGCCUGACAACGCGGAGACAACCGAAUCCGG
Long non-coding RNA from Platichthys flesus (European flounder), 584 nucleotides. RefSeq lists it as uncharacterized. Lineage: Eukaryota; Metazoa; Chordata; Actinopteri; Pleuronectiformes; Pleuronectidae. The record is from RefSeq and is a predicted model, not a curated record. The transcript is spliced from 3 exons.